RNAcentral lists this ribosomal RNA (460 nucleotides) under uncultured bacterium. RNAcentral's name for it is "partial 16S ribosomal RNA". It matches the Rfam family "Bacterial small subunit ribosomal RNA", at positions 338 to 795 of the family's 1533-position model. The record is from RNAcentral.
CCUACGGGAGGCAGCAGUGAGGAAUAUUGGUCAAUGGGCGGGAGCCUGAACCAGCCAAGUCGCGUGAGGGAAGACGGUCCUAUGGAUUGUAAACCUCUUUAGGCGGGGAGCAAUGCCGAGCACGCGUGCCCGGAGGGAGAGUACCCGCAGAAUAAGCAUCGGCUAACUCCGUGCCAGCAGCCGCGGUAUUACGGGGGUUGCGAGCGUUAUCCGGUUUGAUUGGGUUAAAGGGGUGCGUAGGCGGAUGUUUAAGUCAGCGGGAAAAGGUCCGGGUUAAACCCGGGCCGGCCGUUGAAACUGGGGAUCUUGAGUGGGCGAGAGGUAUGCGGAAUGCGUGGUGUAGCGGUGAAAUGCAUAGAUAUCACGCAGAACUCCGAUUGCGAAGGCAGCAUACCGGCGCCCGACUGACGCUGAGGCACGAAAGCGUGGGGAGCGAACAGGAUUAGAUACCCGAGUAGUC